GGUCACCAUGAGGUGACACUGGGGGUUCAGGUGACGCCCCAGGUGACACUGGGGGUGUUGAGGGUUACUCUCAGGUGACAAUUGGGUGUUCAGGGUCAUUCUGAGGUGACACUGGGGGUUCAGGUGACGCCCCAGGUGACACUGGGGGUGUUCAGGGUCACACUCAGGUGUCACUGGAGGUGUUCAGGGUCACUCAGGUGUCACUGGAGGUGUUCAGGGUCACCCUGAGGUGACACUGGGGGUUCAGGUGAUGCCCCAGGUGACACUGGGGGUGUUCAGUGUCACUCUGAGGUGACACUGGGGGUUCAGGUGACGCCCCCAGGCUGUCUCCGCCCCCCCAGGUGACACUGAGGGGGUCACAGUCACUCUCAGGUGUCACAGGGGGUGUUCAGCGUCACUCUCAGGUGACACUGGGGGGUUCAGGUGACGCCCCCAGGCUGUCUCCGCCCCCCCAGGUGACGUGGGCGUGGCCCCGCAGGUGGAAGCCGCAGCUGCAGGAGCUGCUGAAGCUGCCGGCGUUCAUGAGGGUCUCGUCCACGGGG
RNAcentral lists this long non-coding RNA (542 nucleotides) under Parus major (Great Tit). RNAcentral describes it as "lncRNA (ENSPMJG00000004773.1)". The record is from RNAcentral. Lineage: Eukaryota; Metazoa; Chordata; Aves; Passeriformes; Paridae.